AUCUCUAUUCUAAUGCAAGUUCUCCUAACCUAGUGUUAUUGAUCCAAUUUGAAUGUUUACAAUGUUCAUUUCAUGGCUAUUUACAUUAUCCAUCCGCCAAGAAAUAGUUCUUUUACCUGAAGUCCAAGUUAAGAUUGCGUGAAUUAAUUUUUUAUUUCAAAGUAUGAGAGGUUAAAAACUAUACUUUCAAGAAAAUUCUCAAUUUAUUAAACAAGAAAUAAUAAAAGUUUUCUACGUAAAUUCCAAAUCCCCUCGGAUAUUUUUAGAAUAUGAUCAAGUGUCAUGGCCGAUCACGAAUUCGGACGAAGGAGAUGAACAACAAAGUCUAUGGCUGUGCAGCGUUCCCUGUAAUGUUGUAAUUGAAGACUUGGACAGUUGAAUUAUGGACCUCAAACUGCUUGUUAUACAGAACAGGUGCUAGAUAAAAAUGGAAGUCUCGAAAACUCCGUAAAACUAAGCAGCAUGCAAAUGAUGAACAUAUAACAUACAAUUACAACACAUGAUUCAAUUGGAUGUGGGAAAUACAAAUAACAGGCAAUAUUGGAAGACGAGACAGAAGAAAACAUCAAAAUGUUUAUAUCGUUUUUUUGACACAACAAAAUCUAUAAAUAGAAUGGACCAGUUGCUCAAGAUAAAGUGUUAUGAAACAUGUGCAUAUACAUGUAUGCUAAUAACCAUUAUAGAAAGUGAGGAAGUUUUAUAAUUGGUAGUUGAAUUGAUUGUGGAUUUCAAGGCAUCUAAUACUAUUAGGAAGAUACUUGUGCAAACAUGAUGUUGGGAUGUAUAACGGUAUUUUUAAUUCAGCAAAUUUCAUGAAAUUAUUAGUGAACAGAAAUUUUCAUCUUAUGCAUGCGGAAAUAUAAGACGAAAACAUAAUGUAAAAUUGUACAAUAAACACCCGCAAUUGCACCCAUUUAGCGUUUGCAAUGUAAAAAGUUUAGUCUUUUGGACGGGAUUCCAUGACCAAAAUAGACAGUAAGCAGUGAAAGUGGAUAGCUGGAUAGAUUUUGAUUAUGACUAUAUUUCAUUUCUUUGUCUUACUUUUUUUUGAAGAGGAAAAGAAAUAUAUACAAAUCUUUAUA
Molecule: long non-coding RNA, 1082 nt
Organism: Mytilus californianus (California mussel)
Lineage: Eukaryota; Metazoa; Mollusca; Bivalvia; Mytilida; Mytilidae
Exons: 2
Source: RefSeq, a predicted model, not a curated record